UUCCGGUUGAUCCUGCCGGAGGUCAUUGCUAUUGGAGUCCGAUUUAGCCAUGCUAGUUGCACGAGUUCAGACUCGUAGCAGAUAGCUCAGUAACACGUGGCCAAACUGCCCUAUGGAUCCGGAUAACCUCGGGAAACUGAGGCUAAUCCGGAAUACCGUUCAUCGCCUGGAGUGGCCUGAACGCGAAACGUUACGGCGCCAUAGGAUGUGGCUGCGGCCGAUUAGGUAGACGGUGGGGUAACGGCCCACCGUGCCCAUAAUCGGUACGGGUUGUGAGAGCAAGAGCCCGGAGACGGUAUCUGAGACAAGAUACCGGGCCCUACGGGGCGCAGCAGGCGCGAAACCUUUACACUGCACGAGAGUGCGAUAAGGGGACUCCGAGUGCGAGGGCAUAUAGCCCUCGCUUUUCACGACCGUAAGGUGGUCGUAGAAUAAGUGCUGGGCAAGACCGGUGCCAGCCGCCGCGGUAAUACCGGCAGCACGAGUGAUGACCGCUAUUAUUGGGCCUAAAGCGUCCGUAGCUGGCCACGCAAGUUUAUCGGGAAAUCCGCGCGCUCAACGCGCGGGCGUCCGGUGAAAACUGUGUGGCUUGGGACCGGAAGACCAGAGGGGUACGUCCGGGGUAGGAGUGAAAUCCCGUAAUCCUGGACGGACCACCGGUGGCGAAAGCGCCUCUGGAAGACGGAUCCGACGGUGAGGGACGAAAGCUCGGGUCACGAACCGGAUUAGAUACCCGGGUAGUCCGAGCUGUAAACGAUGUCUGCUAGGUGUGGCACAGGCUACGAGCCUGUGCUGUGCCGUAGGGAAGCCGUGAAGCAGACCGCCUGGGAAGUACGUCCGCAAGGAUGAAACUUAAAGGAAUUGGCGGGGGAGCACUACAACCGGAGGAGCCUGCGGUUUAAUUGGAUUCAACGCCGGG
RNAcentral lists this ribosomal RNA (919 nucleotides) under uncultured archaeon. Its description in RNAcentral is "bacterial SSU rRNA". It matches the Rfam family "Archaeal small subunit ribosomal RNA", at positions 1 to 922 of the family's 1478-position model. The record is from RNAcentral.